This 121-nucleotide ribosomal RNA is filed under the name Streptomyces fradiae. RNAcentral describes it as "partial 16S rRNA". It matches the Rfam family "Bacterial small subunit ribosomal RNA", at positions 162 to 283 of the family's 1533-position model. Lineage: Bacteria; Bacillati; Actinomycetota; Actinomycetes; Kitasatosporales; Streptomycetaceae. The record is from RNAcentral.
UCUAAUACCGGAUACGACCACUUCAGGCAUCUGAUGGUGGUGGAAAGCUCCGGCGGUGCAGGAUGAGCCCGCGGCCUAUCAGCUAGUUGGUGAGGUAACGGCUCACCAAGGCGACGACGGG